RNAcentral lists this ribosomal RNA (489 nucleotides) under uncultured eukaryote. RNAcentral describes it as "bacterial SSU rRNA". It matches the Rfam family "Eukaryotic small subunit ribosomal RNA", at positions 54 to 547 of the family's 1831-position model. The record is from RNAcentral.
CAUGUCUCAGUGUAAGCUUAAAUACGGUGAAUCUGAGAAUGGGUCAUUAAUGCAGUUAUAGUUUAUUUGAUGGUCACUCUUACAUGGAUAAGGGUGGUAAUUUUAGAGCUAAUACAUGCAUCAUAACCUGAGUUAGGAAGGGUUGUGUUUAUUUGUUACAGAACCAUCCCAUGUUCUGCAUGGUUUUGUGGUGACUCAUUAUAACCGAUGAAUCGUAUGGGUUGGCUGAUGUUGCAUCAUUCAAGUUUCUGAUCAUUCAGCUUCCGACGGUAUGGUAUUGGCUUUCUGUGGCAACGACCGGGUACCGGAGAAUUAGGGUUUGAUUCUGGAGAGGGAACCUGAGAAACGGCUAACACAUGUUAGGAAGGCAGCAGGCGCGCAAAUUAUCCAAUCGUGACACAGGGAGGUAGUGACAAGAAAUAACAAUACAGGGCAAUACUGUCUCUGUAAUUGGAUUGAGUAGAAUUUAAAUCUAUUUAUGAGUAUCAA